Molecule: ribosomal RNA, 453 nt
Filed under: uncultured bacterium
Lineage: Bacteria
Description: bacterial SSU rRNA
Rfam family: Bacterial small subunit ribosomal RNA
Source: RNAcentral
AGGAGGCAGCAGUGGGGAAUAUUCCGCAAUGGGCGAAAGCCUGACGGAGCGACGCCGCGUGAGGGAUGAAGCCUUUUGGGGUGUAAACCUCUUUUCCGAGGGAUGACAGCCUGCGCAAGCAGGGAGGACAGUACCUCGGGAAUAAGCCUCGGCUAACUACGUGCCAGCAGCCGCGGUAAUACGUAGGAGGCGAGCGUUGUCCGGAUUUACUGGGCGUAAAGCGCGCGCAGGCGGCUCACUAAGUAAGGUGUGAAAUCUCCCUGCCUAACGGGGAGGGUGCACUUUAGACUGGUGGGCUAGAGGGCGGUAGAGGGGGGUGGAAUUGCUGGUGUAGCGGUGAAAUGCGUAGAGAUCAGCAGGAACACCCGUGGCGAAGGCGGCCCCCUGGGCCGAACCUGACGCUGAGGCGCGAAGGCUAGGGGAGCGAACGGGAUUAGAUACCCCCGUAGUCCA